Molecule: ribosomal RNA, 541 nt
Filed under: uncultured bacterium
Lineage: Bacteria
Description: partial 16S ribosomal RNA
Rfam family: Bacterial small subunit ribosomal RNA
Source: RNAcentral
UGGGGAAUUUUGGACAAUGGGCGAAAGCCUGAUCCAGCAAUGCCGCGUGUGUGAAGAAGGCCUUCGGGUUGUAAAGCACUUUUGUCCGGAAAGAAAUCCUUGGCUCUAAUACAGUCGGGGGAUGACGGUACCGGAAGAAUAAGCACCGGCUAACUACGUGCCAGCAGCCGCGGUAAUACGUAGGGUGCAAGCGUUAAUCGGAAUUACUGGGCGUAAAGCGUGCGCAGGCGGUUUGCUAAAGACCGAUGUGAAAUCCCCGGGCUCAACCUGGGAACUGCAUUGGUGACUGGCAGGCUAGAGUAUGGCAGAGGGGGGUAGAAUUCCACGUGUAGCAGUGAAAAUGCGUAGAGAUGUGGAGGAAUACCGAUGGCGAAGGCAGCCCCCUGGCAAGUACUGACGCUCAUGCACGAAAAGCGUGGGGAGCAAAACAGGAUUAGAUACCCUGGUAGUCCCACGCCCUAAAACGAUGUCAACUAGGUUGUUGGGGGAUUCAUUUCCUUAGUAACGUAGCUAACGCGUGAAGUUGACCGCCUGGGGAGUA